CCUCCGGGUGGCAGCAGUGAGGAAUAUUGGUCAAUGGCCGGAAGCCUGAACCAGCCAUGCCGCGUGAAGGUCAGUGCCCUAUUGGCGUUUAACUUCUUUUUUGCGGGAGCAAUAAUGGUCACGUGUGGCCAGACGAGAGUACCGUACGAAUAAGCAUCCGCUAACUCCGUGCCAGCAGCCGCGGUAAUACGGGGGAUGCAAGCCUUAUCCGGAUUUAUUGGGUGUAAAGGGUUCAUAGGCUGUGAAGUAAGUCAGCGGUGAAAUGCCACCGGUCAACGGGGUGAAGUGCCAUUGAUACUGGGUGUCGGGAAUGAGGGAGCAGUAGGAGGAAUGUGGGGUGUAG
RNAcentral lists this ribosomal RNA (343 nucleotides) under uncultured bacterium. RNAcentral describes it as "partial 16S ribosomal RNA". It matches the Rfam family "Bacterial small subunit ribosomal RNA", at positions 338 to 678 of the family's 1533-position model. The record is from RNAcentral.